AUUCCGGUUGAUCCUGCCGGAGGCCAUUGCUAUCGGAGUCCGAUUUAGCCAUGCUAGUUGCGCGAGUUCACACUCGCAGCAUAUAGCUCAGUAACACGUGGUCAAGCUACCCUGCAGAGACGAAUAACCUCGGGAAACUGAGGCUAAUACGUCAUACUGGUCCCACGCUGGAAUGCCGGGACCCACAAACGCUCCGGCGCUGCAG
RNAcentral lists this ribosomal RNA (205 nucleotides) under Halogeometricum limi. RNAcentral describes it as "Halosarcina limi Archaeal small subunit ribosomal RNA". It matches the Rfam family "Archaeal small subunit ribosomal RNA", at positions 1 to 207 of the family's 1478-position model. Lineage: Archaea; Methanobacteriati; Methanobacteriota; Halobacteria; Halobacteriales; Haloferacaceae. The record is from Rfam by way of RNAcentral.